RNAcentral lists this ribosomal RNA (728 nucleotides) under uncultured bacterium. Its description in RNAcentral is "bacterial SSU rRNA". It matches the Rfam family "Bacterial small subunit ribosomal RNA", at positions 57 to 757 of the family's 1533-position model. The record is from RNAcentral.
GCAGUCGAACGAGGACCAAGGAGCUUGCUCCUUGUAGCCGAGUGGCGAACGGGUGCGUAACAAGUGACCAACCUGUCCUAGGGUGGGGGACAACCUGGGGAAACCCGGGCUAAUACCGCAUGAUGUCCCGACCUCGCAUGGGGAUGGGAUCAAAGAGGGCCUCUGCUUGCAAGCUCUCGCCCAGGGAGGGGGUCGCUUCGUAUCAGCUUGUUGGUGAGGUAACGGCUUACCAAGGCUACGACGCGUAGUGGGUCUGAGAGGACGACCCGCCACAUUGGGACUGAGAUACGGCCCAGACUCCUACGGGAGGCAGCAGUGGGGAAUAUUGCGCAAUGGACGAAAGUCUGACGCAGCGACGCCGCGUGUGGGAGGAAGCCUUUCGGGGUGUAAACCACUGUCAGAGGGGAAGAAUCCCGUCAUCUCGAAUAGGGUUGGCGGCUGACGGUACCCUCAAAGGAAGCGCCGGCUAACUCCGUGCCAGCAGCCGCGGUAAGACGGAGGGCGCAAGCGUUGUUCGGAAUUACUGGGCGUAAAGCGCGGGCAGGCGGCUCGUUAAGUCUUCUGUGAAAACCCGGGGCUCAACUCCGUGGAAUGCAGGGGAAACUGGCGAGCUAGAGACCAGUAGAGGCUAGCGGAAUUCCUGGUGUAGCGGUGGAAUGCGUAGAUAUCAGGAAGAACACCUGUGGCGAAGGCGGCUAGCUGGGCUGGAUCUGACGCUCAUCCGCGAA